Molecule: long non-coding RNA, 189 nt
Organism: Coturnix japonica (Japanese quail)
Lineage: Eukaryota; Metazoa; Chordata; Aves; Galliformes; Phasianidae
Source: RefSeq, a predicted model, not a curated record
GUCACAAGCAUGAACUGCUGCGUUGAGACUCACUGCUAGUAUAACACUUCUUCCCAGCCUCCUCUUACAGGUCUUUCUCUUGACAGCAACCUUGGUAUCUUCAUCAUCCUGCCUUGAAGCUGAAGCUUGAGCAUACUGAAAUUUCAACACCAGAAAAGAUCCUGUACUACAAUAAACCUGGUCUACGUG